RNAcentral lists this long non-coding RNA (390 nucleotides) under Brachypodium distachyon (stiff brome). Its description in RNAcentral is "long non-coding RNA (BDIS_LNC001342)". The record is from RNAcentral. Lineage: Eukaryota; Viridiplantae; Streptophyta; Magnoliopsida; Poales; Poaceae.
CUUUACAUAAAUUUGAAAAUUACAUUUUAACUUGUGGUUUGAAAUAUUGUUGUUUGAAUUUGCUAGAAGAUUCAAAUAUGAAUCAUCAUUCCUUCUUUGAGUUUGAAUUCCUUUUCCUAUAUUUUACAAAUGUCAAUCAAAUGGGUUUUGAUUUAAACCUUUACCCCAUUUGAAUAUUUCCAAAUAGUAGUGCCAUAUUUGAAUUCUCCUACUUCUCAACUUUUCAAAAUGGUAUUUGAAAUUUGAAUCCAAAAACUAUUUGCACAACAGAAAACAGAAAAAGGGAAAAGGAAAAAGAGAAGAAAAAGAAAAGCUUACCUCUUACUUUCGGCCCGAGUCAGCCUAGCCACCUCGGCCCUUUCUCUUCGCGAGCACCAGUCGCCUCGGCCC